UACGUAGGGUGCAAGCGUUAAUCGGAAUUACUGGGCGUAAAGCGUGCGCAGGCGGUUUUGUAAGUCUGUCGUGAAAGCCCCGGGCUCAACCUGUGAAUUGCGAUGGAGACUGCAAGGCUUGAAUCUGGCAGAGGGGGGUAGAAUUCCACGUGUAGCAGUGAAAUGCGUAGAGAUGUGGAGGAACACCGAUGGCGAAGGCAGCCCCCUGGGUCAAGAUUGACGCUCAUGCACGAAAGCGUGGGGAGCAAACAGG
RNAcentral lists this ribosomal RNA (253 nucleotides) under uncultured bacterium. Its description in RNAcentral is "partial 16S ribosomal RNA". It matches the Rfam family "Bacterial small subunit ribosomal RNA", at positions 524 to 776 of the family's 1533-position model. The record is from RNAcentral.